Cebus imitator (Panamanian white-faced capuchin) is the source of this 523-nucleotide long non-coding RNA. RefSeq lists it as uncharacterized. The transcript has 3 exons. Lineage: Eukaryota; Metazoa; Chordata; Mammalia; Primates; Cebidae. The record is from RefSeq and is a predicted model, not a curated record.
CUUGGCCUUGUCAUAGGUCCAGGAGCCGAACUUCAUCUUGCAGUUCUGCUGGUCGAAGGGGAAGAAGGUGACGUCGAUGCUGCAGGAGCUCUUGUAGAUGGCCGGGGGCACCCAGUGCACAGUGCCCGUGGAGAAGAGUAAGGAAAGAGUUGAAUAGACACAAGGCCAGCCACGCCAUGUGGGAGAUGGAGUUAGCAGUCAAAGCAUGUCUUCCAAAGUUCGCAGAUGAUGAGUCGGCCCCUCAGGAGAGGGACCCAUUUCCACCUGGGAUCAUCCUUGCUCAGAAGAGACAAAACAUCUUUGCGGGUGAAGGUACUCCCUUGAGUGUAUCCAUUUAACAUGUGUUUUUGAGCCAGCCUCAUCCACUAGGGCCUGUAACAGAACUGUGCAGAAGAGGAAUAUGAGAUAAGGUCCCUGUCCUUAAGGAGUCAUGAGGAAAUGAGACGUCUCCAGGAACCACUGCAACAUCAGGGAGGCAGUUGCCAACACUAGGAGGGUGGUCCGAGUGUUCCCUGGACGCUUU